RNAcentral lists this ribosomal RNA (846 nucleotides) under Triticum aestivum (bread wheat). RNAcentral's name for it is "partial small subunit ribosomal RNA". Lineage: Eukaryota; Viridiplantae; Streptophyta; Magnoliopsida; Poales; Poaceae. The record is from RNAcentral.
AUGGAUUGCAGCAAUGGCCUACUUCUUUGUUAUCAUGGUGGUAUUAGAAUGUAUUUUGCAGAUAUAUCCCACGUUAUUGUGUGCAAUCCGGCAACUCAAGAGUGGAUGUCACUUCCAAAUACUGAACCUGGACCGUCAAGCUCUUUUUGUGACAUCGUGUUGUGUUUUGAUCCAUCAUGGUCUCAACACUUCAAUGUCUUCAGCUUCCAGUGCCAGUCUUCCAUGGUUGGUGAAGACUUCACUGAAGUUAAGGUAUUUUUCUCCGAGAAUUUCACAUGGUCUAGUUGUCGCUGGAAAAGUGAAACUGGAUUUCAUGGUAGUUCACGCUUCAUGAAUGGGGUGUUGUAUGUGAGUCAUCUAUUGGAGCAUGUCCUUCUGGCAAUCGAUGCACCCGACCCAUGUACGCAGUUGCUUAGUCAGAGGAUCAUUCAGCUGCCAGGAUUUCCAAAUGAUCCGGGGAUGUUUUCUUGGUGUAGUGGGUGUCUUUGCCAUUCAUCAGGGGUCUUAUGCUACGCACAACAGGAAUUUGAUGGUUGUAUGGUGCGGAUUUGGAGUUUGGAAGGCGCCAACGGUUGGGUGGUGAGGCAUCGUCUAAGUAUGAACAAUGUAUUUGGGAGGGACUUGUUGCUCCGCACUGAUCAUAAUGGAUUUUGGUAUUUCGAUUAUGACAUCCAUGAUUUUGACUUGGAGAGAGAGCUAGUUAUCCUUAUUGACAGAAUUGAUCAUAAGCUGAUCUCAUUUAGCAUCGGUACUGGGAAAAGCUCGGAGAUUCUAAAGAUUUCAGGGUUCAGUUACGUGUAUCGUAGUAAACUCUACGUGCCAUACUAUGGCAAGUUUCCAGCUUGA